RNAcentral lists this ribosomal RNA (429 nucleotides) under Chloroflexota bacterium. RNAcentral describes it as "Chloroflexi bacterium partial 16S ribosomal RNA". It matches the Rfam family "Bacterial small subunit ribosomal RNA", at positions 355 to 776 of the family's 1533-position model. The record is from RNAcentral. Lineage: Bacteria; Bacillati; Chloroflexota.
UGGGGAAUAUUGCACAAUGGGCGCAAGCCUGAUGCAGCCAUGCCGCGUGUAUGAAGAAGGCCUUCGGGUUGUAAAGUACUUUCAGCGGGGAGGAAGGGAGUAAAGUUAAUACCUUUGCUCAUUGACGUUACCCGCAGAAGAAGCACCGGCUAACUCCGUGCCAGCAGCCGCGGUAAUACGGAGGGUGCAAGCGUUAAUCGGAAUUACUGGGCGUAAAGCGCACGCAGGCGGUUUGUUAAGUCAGAUGUGAAAUCCCCGGGCUCAACCUGGGAACUGCAUCUGAUACUGGCAAGCUUGAGUCUCGUAGAGGGGGGUAGAAUUCCAGGUGUAGCGGUGAAAUGCGUAGAGAUCUGGAGGAAUACCGGUGGCGAAGGCGGACCCCUGGACGAAGACUGACGCUCAGGUGCGAAAGCGUGGGGAGCAAACAGG